Molecule: ribosomal RNA, 409 nt
Filed under: Salmonella enterica subsp. enterica serovar Kentucky
Lineage: Bacteria; Pseudomonadati; Pseudomonadota; Gammaproteobacteria; Enterobacterales; Enterobacteriaceae
Description: bacterial SSU rRNA
Rfam family: Bacterial small subunit ribosomal RNA
Source: RNAcentral
AACCGUGGUAAGGCGUAAAGCUUGCUGCUUCGCUGACGAGUGGCGGACGGGUGAGUAAUGUCUGGGAAACUGCCUGAUGGAGGGGGAUAACUACUGGAAACGGUGGCUAAUACCGCAUAACGUCGCAAGACCAAAGAGGGGGACCUUCGGGCCUCUUGCCAUCAGAUGUGCCCAGAUGGGAUUAGCUUGUUGGUGAGGUAACGGCUCACCAAGGCGACGAUCCCUAGCUGGUCUGAGAGGAUGACCAGCCACACUGGAACUGAGACACGGUCCAGACUCCUACGGGAGGCAGCAGUGGGGAAUAUUGCACAAUGGGCGCAAGCCUGAUGCAGCCAUGCCGCGUGUAUGAAGAAGGCCUUCGGGUUGUAAAGUACUUUCAGCGGGGAGGAAGGUGUUGUGGUUAAUAACC